AGGGCACCACCAGGAGUGGAGCCUGCGGCUCAGUUUGACUCAACACGGGAAACCUCACCAGGCCCAGACACCGGGGGGAUUGACAGAUUGAGAGCUCUUUCUUGAUUCGGUGGGUGGUGGUGCAUGGCCGUUCUUAGUUGGUGGAGCGAUUUGUCUGGUUAAUUCCGAUAACGAACGAGACUCUAGCCUGCUAAAUAGUCGCAUCCGGUAUCCUCUGUGCUACCGGCGACCAACAAUCUUCUUAGAGGGACAGGCGGCUUCUAGCCGCACGAGAUUGAGCAAUAACAGGUCUGUGAUGCCCUUARAUGUUCUGGGCCGCACGCGCGCUACACUGAAGGAAUCAGCGUGUCCUCCCUGGCCGAAAGGUCCGGGUAACCCGCUGAAYCUCCUUCGUGCCAGGGAUUGGGGCUUGCAAUUGUUCCCCAUGAACGAGGAAUUCCCAGUAAGCGCGAGUCAUAAGCUCGCGUUGAUUACGUCCCUGCCCUUUGUACACACCGCCCGUCGCUACUACCGAUUGAA
Molecule: ribosomal RNA, 519 nt
Filed under: uncultured eukaryote
Lineage: Eukaryota
Description: SSU rRNA
Rfam family: Eukaryotic small subunit ribosomal RNA
Source: RNAcentral